GUUAAAAAGCUCGUAGUUGGAGUUCUGCCAGGUGCCGUCUGUCCGCCCCAGUGGUGAGUACGUGACGCGCAUUUGGCCCUUUCAAGGGGAGCGUAUCCGCACUUUACUGUGUGGUGCGGGAUCCUUGACUUUUACUUUGAGGAAAUAGGAGUGUUCCAAGCAGGCUCUCGUCGUGCACAGCUCAGCAUGGAAUAAUAGCAUUGGACCUCGAUUCUAAGCUGUUGGUUGCCAGAAGCGAGGUAAUGAUGAAGAGGGAUAGUUGGGGGCAUUCGUAUUUAACUGCCAGAGGUGAAAUUCUUGGAUUUGUUAAAGACGGACUACUGCGAAAGCAUCUGCCAUGGAUGUUUUCAUUGAUCAAGAACGAAAGUUAGGGGAUCGAAGACGAUCAGAUACCGUCCUAGUCUUAACUAUAAACCAUGCCGGCUAGAGAUCGGAGGUUGUUCGUUUUGUGACGCCUUCAGCAUCUUGAGAGAAAUCAAAGCCUUUGGGUUCCGGGGGGAGUAUGGUCGCAAGGCUGAAACUUAAAGGAAUUGACGGAAGGGCACCACCAGGAGUGGAGCCUGCGGCUUAAUUUGACUCAACACGGGGAAACUUACCAGGUCCAGACUGGGUAAGGAUGUACAGAUUGAUAGCUCUUUACAGAUUCUCAGGGUGGUGGUGCAUGGCCGUUCUUAGUUGGUGGAGUGAUUUGUCUGGUUAAUUCCGUUAA
This 709-nucleotide ribosomal RNA is filed under the name uncultured marine alveolate. RNAcentral describes it as "SSU rRNA". It matches the Rfam family "Eukaryotic small subunit ribosomal RNA", at positions 618 to 1331 of the family's 1831-position model. The record is from RNAcentral.